UUGCUCACUCACUCACUCACUCACU
RNAcentral lists this non-coding RNA (25 nucleotides) under Mus musculus (house mouse). The record is from RNAcentral. Lineage: Eukaryota; Metazoa; Chordata; Mammalia; Rodentia; Muridae.